CCUACGGGAGGCAGCAGUGGGGAAUAUUGGGCAAUGGGCGCAAGCCUGACCCAGCAACGCCGCGUGAAGGAAGAAGGCUUUCGGGUUGUAAACUUCUGUUGUCAGGGACGAAGCAAGUGACGGUACCUGACGAAUAAGCCACGGCUAACUACGUGCCAGCAGCCGCGGUAAUACGUAGUGGGCAAGCGUUAUCCGGAUGGAGUGGGUGUAAAGGGCGUGUAGGCGGGAAGGCAAGUCAGCUGUGAAAACUAUGGGCUCAACCCAUAGACUGCAUUUGAAACUGUAUUACUGGAGUGCUGGAGAGGAAAUUGGAAUUCCGGGUGUAGCGGUGAAAUGCGUAGAUAUAUGGAGGAACACCAGUGGCGAAGGCGGAUUGCUGGCCAGUAACUGACGCUGAGGAGCGAAAGCGUGGGGAGCAAACAGGAUUAGAUACCCCAGUAGUC
This 443-nucleotide ribosomal RNA is filed under the name uncultured bacterium. RNAcentral describes it as "partial 16S ribosomal RNA". It matches the Rfam family "Bacterial small subunit ribosomal RNA", at positions 338 to 795 of the family's 1533-position model. The record is from RNAcentral.